Molecule: long non-coding RNA, 387 nt
Filed under: Homo sapiens (human)
Lineage: Eukaryota; Metazoa; Chordata; Mammalia; Primates; Hominidae
Description: novel transcript
Source: RNAcentral
CCAGCUGCACUGUGACGCGUGUUGGGGCGCCUAUGCGAGACGGGACCGGGACAGGAACCCUGUGGCUCUGUGGUAGGGGAAUGCCACCAACUCCCUGAGGAGCAGCCGUGUGGUAUGAUUGUAAACGAUUAUGAGGGAAAUGACUCUGAAGCAGAAGACCUGAAUUUCAGGGAGGCUUUGCCUUCAUCAAGUCAGGAAAACACACCUAGAUCAAAGGUUUUUGAAAAUAAAGUUAAUUCAGAGAAGGUAAAACUUUCUCUUCGGAAUUUCCCACAUAAUGAUUAUGAGGAUGUUUUUGAAGAGCCUUCAGAAAGUGGCAGUGAUCCCAGCAUGUGGACAGCCAGAGGCCCCUUCGGAAGAGACAGGUGGAGCAGUGAGGAUGAGGAG